UUUGCAAGCCGUCUUAUCGCUGUUCUUUAUACAGAGGAAAGUCCGGACACCAUAGAGCAAUGCAUCGGGUAACUCCCGACAUCGUUAGAUAGGAAUAGUGCAACAGAAAGUAUGUACAGUUAGGCUGUAGUGGAAUCUUGUAAACUCUGCAUGGUGAAACACCAAGUAUAUCUGUAAAUUAAGGUUGCUCGCCUUAUACAGAAGGGUAGGUGGAUUGAGCAUUUUAGUAAUAAAAUGCCUAGAUAAAUGAUAAGACUCGACAGAAUCCGGCUUAUAGGCUUGCUUUUUUA
This 290-nucleotide RNase P RNA is filed under the name Flavobacteriaceae bacterium. RNAcentral's name for it is "RNase P RNA component class A". It matches the Rfam family "Bacterial RNase P class A". From Rfam's summary of the family: Ribonuclease P (RNase P) is a ubiquitous endoribonuclease, found in archaea, bacteria and eukarya as well as chloroplasts and mitochondria. Its best characterised activity is the generation of mature 5'-ends of tRNAs by cleaving the 5'-leader elements of precursor-tRNAs. The record is from RNAcentral. Lineage: Bacteria; Pseudomonadati; Bacteroidota; Flavobacteriia; Flavobacteriales; Flavobacteriaceae.